GCCAUAGUUUCAGCCGCUCAGGUUCCCUUAGUGGAAGGCGGUGAAACGACAAAGCAGUGCCAGUCUUUGCUUUAUUUCUGCAUUUCUUCACAGCGCAGGAGUGAGGCAUAGUAUAACUAACUGCCUCAUCUUAAUAUUCUUGAAGUCUCUCCCUCCUGCCUUUCCUGGAUACUUUCAAGCACAGCAGAGAAGACAUCAUUUUCAACAGCAACAUGAAUGACUCAAACUCCUGAUCUAGCCUGAAAAAGAGCAGUGGACAGAGCUGAGGACGUGAUUUCUCGUCAUGUGGACUGAAGACUACGGUUUCUCUCCUGUGUGGAUUCUCUUACGGACACACAGGUAGGUGGCUCUGGGUGAAAGAUUUGCCGACAAGGUCUCCCUCCGGUGUGGGUUCGCAGGUGCACCAGGAGGUGGUCUCUAAGCAGGAACACCUUGCUGCAGUCGUUGCACUUAAAAGGCCUCUCAUCCACGUGUCUUACAAGGUCAACAUCCUUUAUAAAGCAAGCACAGCAAAUGUGACCUCAGUGUGAGAUUGUAAAUGAUCAGAUAAACCUUCUCUGGUCUCAAAUAUGUUUCCACAGCAAAUACUACCACAGGCUCUGUGAGCUGAGGUACUCUGGGGAACAGCAGCUCAUGUUUAGCUGCCACUCUUUUUCUUCUUUAUUUACAUGAGCAGCAGCAGAGCAGCACUUUGUUCCACAAAGUUGGAGGGAGCGGCCUCCGGCGUCGCUGUCAGCUCCAUUUCUUCCUCUUUGAUCUGCUGGAAUAACUGAUCUUGGCUCUGCUGCGGCUCCAUGUUGGGAUCCCACUCCUGCUGAGGGGGAAACAUCUCUUCUGAGACUUCAGAGACAUCUGUUAAACAUAAACUAAAAAGAAAACUAAACAAAGAACAUUUACUCAUUCAGAUUUAGUUUUUUUUACUCAAGCUCUGGAAUAAAAAUAGGUAUGUUUGUCCUCUCUUUCUGUCAGUCAUUCUUCAUUUUCUGACUCUCUGUUUUUAUUGGGAGGCUUACAGUAGAAAAGCCUAUUGGUGAAAUAAAGCUUGAACAACAACUUGAACAAUUUCCAGGAGAGAACGUGUUCUUCCUUUGGUUUGAAACACUUAAAUUAUAUUUAUCAAAAGUUAAACUUUUGACUUCUGAAACAUUGAAUGUUUUGAAUGAUUUGUUUUUCUUUAAGGUUAUGAAGAUAUUUCCAGUUAGGAUAUGAGACUCGUACUGGUUAUUGUCUGAUCUGCUUCCUCCAGAGUCCUGUUUGAAUGUUUCUUGUUGAUAAAAUCACUUUCCCCCCUA
Long non-coding RNA from Siniperca chuatsi (mandarin fish), 1292 nucleotides. RefSeq lists it as uncharacterized. NCBI's taxonomy places the organism in Eukaryota, Metazoa, Chordata, Actinopteri, Centrarchiformes, Sinipercidae. The record is from RefSeq and is a predicted model, not a curated record. The transcript has 2 exons.